This 355-nucleotide unclassified non-coding RNA is filed under the name fungal sp. RNAcentral describes it as "partial internal transcribed spacer region". The stretch from base 1 to 46 matches the Rfam family "Eukaryotic small subunit ribosomal RNA", at positions 1786 to 1831 of the family's 1831-position model. The record is from RNAcentral. Lineage: Eukaryota; Fungi.
AAGUCGUAACAAGGUUUCCGUAGGUGAACCUGCGGAAGGAUCAUUACAAAUAUAUGGUUAACGCCAACAUUUCAUGUGCAACUUAUUGACGCUGCCAGAAUUUCGAAAAGUUUUUGGAUUUUUCGAUGCCUGGCAGCAAACCCGACCGCUUGAAUCAAUAAUGUACUUUAGUGAUUUAAUGCAUGAUACAAGCGGUCAGCGGGCCUCUCGUUGUUGUUCUCGGAUAACAAUUGAUGUCCGUCUUUUACAACAUUAUAACAUCAUCUUAUUUAUCCAUCAUCAGACAGUAGCAAUUCAGCGAAAUGUGAUGACAUAAAAGGGUUAAAAACUUUUAGCAACGGAUCUCUAGGCUCUC